UUGCACCUGCUGCUGCCACUCCUGCUGGGGGCUGUGCUCCCUGUGCCACUUUCCCAAAGGCUCAGCAGCUCAGUCCCUGAGGAUUUCUCUGCUCCCCUGGAGCUCCCACAGCAGCACUUCGGCCUUGUGGAUGAUUAUGGCAUUAAGCCGAAGCACCCCCAGUUCCAGACUCGAGCACCCUGGAAGCAGCCUGCAGGCCUGCACCAAGCACACAAGAGCAAGCGGGAUGAGUCAGAUUUGGCAGAGUAUUAUUAUGACAAUGCCCUGUGAGCUGCCCAGGCACUUGUUGCAGUGGGAUCUCCACGAGCCCCAUGGGCAGCUCUGACCCUGUGCACUAGCUGCUUUAUAAAGGUGUGCUGUAUAGCAAGGCAGACUGAGGGUCUGCUCAGCGAUGUCUGUUGGGGUCGGGGUGAGGAAGGUGAAGGCAGAG
RNAcentral lists this long non-coding RNA (430 nucleotides) under Chelonoidis abingdonii (Abingdon island giant tortoise). Its description in RNAcentral is "lncRNA (ENSCABG00000013741.1)". The record is from RNAcentral. Lineage: Eukaryota; Metazoa; Chordata; Testudines; Testudinidae.